AGUGCAAAUAUGCAUGAAGGCGACCUGUGUGCUUGUUUUGUAGAAUGGAAGAGGAGCCGGAGGAAAGAAGGGGGAAGAGCAACAAUUGUACAUCACCGGCACGAAGUUCCAACAUGAAAAUGGUUUUCUCCCUUGAGGCAAGUUUGCAAAUAAUCAAUUGCAACGUUUGCAGAGCUCGGAAGGACGUGGAAUGGGAUGAGGAAAAGGAAGAAUAAAGCGCCACACAGAUAAGUUUGUUGAUCUAUUUGCAGGGUGGAUGUAAACGGUAUGGGGCAGAGUACGGAGCUUUGACGUUUGCCUUGGUUGACUGUUGCUACGGAAGGUAGUUUGGUGGUAGGUCUGGUUUGUAAUGAGGGCAGGCAUGGAAAGUGUGGGUAGAGUUGAUAGUUGGAUGCGGCGGUUUGGUUCAGUGGUCUUAGCGAAGGAAGGAAGGUUGAGACGGUCCGCAGGUUGGUUGGCUUGUCUCGGUCCUGAGCAAGUCUUUGUUUUGACGUAUAGUGCAGGCUUCGAAUGAGGAAUUUAUCAUAUUGAUCAACACGAAAGUGAAUAGUUUUUCAGGGUGACGACCAAGAAUUGUACACAACCGGCACGCAGUUCCAAGAUGAACAGCUUCUUCUCCUUUGAGGCAAGUGUGCAAAUAAUGCGCAUUAUCGAUGACAACACAUUUUAGUCUUUUCUUUGUUGUUUUUCGUUUUGGCAGCAAUCCAGACUGAAAGUGGAAAUGCUGCGCCGCUUCAAGAGCCAAGCAGCAACUAUACAGGGGGAGUACAUCUUAUUUACUUUGUUUGUGUCCGUUUCCUCACUAACUCACUGGGUAUGCACGGACUAACACUGAUUCGUGAUUAAUUUUGUGCAUCGAGUCGAGGCAACAAUGCUGUUAAACUAAAAUGUGCUUUUGGUUUUCUUUUUGAAAGAAUGGUAAGUUGUUUCAAGUGUGGUUUUAACCAUUUGAAUUAAACUUGUAACAAUGUUAAAGCGGGACAAUAUGUACAAACAUACAUAACAGAGUAAGACUUAAAUUGAGUCUAAGGCACUUUAAACAAUGUAAUGAGUCUGCACAAACUAAUAGAAGCAUGUGAAAUGUGCCCUAAAGUAUUUAUUUUAAAUUAAUUUUCCUCCAAAUCUUUCAUUGUCGUCUUCCCUACUUGCUGUGUUGCUGGAUGGAGCGAGAGGCAUCCAGAGCCACUGGACGAGCGUAAUCGACGCACACACUUGAGACCAGCAGAUAAGUAAUUGUAUCGUAUUUUUUUUGCAGGUUUGGAGAUAAACUGUGUAAUGGCUGGGCAAGGGUAACCAGCAUAGGCACACCAACGGAACAAGCAAGUGAAUGUCAAUUACAGCAGGCUUGUUUUUGUUAUUGCAGGUUGGAGGAGGAGGAGACAUUUGGGAAGGAGGAAACAAGCAGAACCAGUACGGGGAAAUAAGUGCAAAUACGAAUGAAGGCGACCUGUGUGUUAAACGGAAGAGGAGCCGGAGGAAAGAAGGGGGAAGAGCAACAGUUGUACAUAACCGGCACGAAGUUCCAACAUGAAAAUGGUUUUCUCCCUUGAGGCAAG
Phycodurus eques (leafy seadragon) is the source of this 1556-nucleotide long non-coding RNA. RefSeq lists it as uncharacterized. The transcript is spliced from 3 exons. The record is from RefSeq and is a predicted model, not a curated record. NCBI's taxonomy places the organism in Eukaryota, Metazoa, Chordata, Actinopteri, Syngnathiformes, Syngnathidae.